This 382-nucleotide small RNA is filed under the name Vigna angularis var. angularis. RNAcentral's name for it is "Non-protein coding transcript". The record is from RNAcentral. Lineage: Eukaryota; Viridiplantae; Streptophyta; Magnoliopsida; Fabales; Fabaceae.
UCACCGCCAUCGAAGGUUUUUCCGCUCUCUGUCGUCACCUCCUAACUGUUGAAGGCUCUACCACCAUUUCACUCUAAGGAAAAGCGGAUAUGCAUAUGUGUUCAUUAAGAAUCUUGAUGUAUCAGUAGAUAACAAGACAUUGUAUGACACUUUUGCUGCCUUUGAAACUGUGCUAUCUAGUAAGGUAGCGGUUGAUGAGAAUGGUCAAUCAAAAGGGUAUGGAUUUGUGCACUUUGACAAUGACGAGUCUGCUCAGAAUGCUAUCAAAAAAUUUAACGGCAUGUUAAUAAAUGAUAAUAAAUGUUGCAGUAGCUCGGCGAAAGGAAGAAAGGAAGUCUAAUUUACAGGCCCAGUUUUCUGAUAUGCAAAUUGCACCUUUCUC